Molecule: ribosomal RNA, 406 nt
Filed under: uncultured bacterium
Lineage: Bacteria
Description: partial 16S ribosomal RNA
Rfam family: Bacterial small subunit ribosomal RNA
Source: RNAcentral
GACGAACGCUGGCGGCGCGCUUAACACAUGCAAGUCGAGCGAAGCGGCGGACGGGUGAGUAACACGUGAGUAACCUGCCUUAGACAUUGGGAUAGCCUCGGGAAACCGGGAUUAAUACCAAAUGGUCUAAGAUGGACUCGCGUCCCAUUAGCUAGUUGGUGGGUAACGGCCCACCAAGGCGACGAGGGGUAGCCGGCCUGAGAGAAGGAGCGGUGACAUUGGAACGGGGAAACGGUGGAAAAUAUACGGGAGGGAGGAGUGGGGAAUAGUGCACAAUGGAGGGAACUAUGAUGCAGCGACGCGGCGAGAACGAAGAAGGCGUUCAAGUCGGAAAGUACUUUAAUAUGGGAAGCGGUACCAUAAGAAAAAGCCCCGGCUAACUACGUGCCAGCAGCCGCGGUAAUUC